UAAUAUUUCGAGAUAGAAACCAC
This 23-nucleotide microRNA is filed under the name Brugia malayi. RNAcentral's name for it is "bma-miR-5855". Lineage: Eukaryota; Metazoa; Nematoda; Chromadorea; Rhabditida; Onchocercidae. RNAcentral also lists the same sequence under 1 other name. The record is from miRBase by way of RNAcentral.